CCACAUCGGGCUUCAGUUCAGUUCAUUUCAGUCGCUCAGUCUGUCCAACUCUUUGCGACCCCAGGGACAUGCCAAGCCUCCCUGUCCAUCACCAACUCCCGGAGUUUACCCAAACUCAUGCCCAUUGAGUCGGUGAUGCCAUCCAACCAUCUCAUCCUCUGUCAUCCCCUUCUCCUCCCGCCUUCAAUCUUUCCCAGCAUGAGAGUCUUUUCAAAUGAGUCAGCUCUUCGCAUCAGGUGGCCAAAGUAUCGGAGUUUCAGCUUCAACAUCGGGCUUGGGCUGCGAUAAAUACUCUACAUGCAUUACCUCAUUCAGUCUUCAUACGGCCCAUGAGGUAGGAAGCCAUUUUACAGGUGAAGAAAGCAAGGUCAUGAGGCUCUGAGGAUGCACCGGAAUUGCCCAGAUGAGAAGAUAACAGAGAGUAAUGACAUGUGAUGCUACGGUAAUGCCCCCAAACAGCUAUAUGUGCACCACCCACCAAAGCCUAUCAAUACUGCUGAAUUGACUCUGCUGAUAGAGUGCAUAUUUCUGGGGUGAGAGAUAAAGAAGCCACGCCCGGAACAGCAUCAUGCUUACUCUGUGCUCUGAAGAUGAAGGAAGAGGCACAAGCCAAGGAAUACAGAUGGCCUGAAGAAAUGGGAAAAGAUAAGGAAAUGGUUUCUCCCCUGGAGCACCCUGAAAGAUUGAGGUAAACCUGAGGUCCAUCAGCUCGCCUGCCCCAGCCCUUCUUGGGAAACUGAGAAACCUGGAGUGUGUGGGCAAGGAAGCUUAAUUGGCUCCACUGCUGGAGGAUCUGCCAUUUUCCUCUGCAUUCGUGGCAGGCCUCGGAGGAGAAGCUGGAAAUAAUAAUGUCCCAAGGUGAAAUGAGGUGACAUGCUGGAAAUAGUUUGGAAGAGGAUAAAGUGCUGUACAGAGGUCAUGCUUUCAGAGUCGAAAGACCUGGGUUCUAUUCCCGAGUAUGGCAACUUCAAACUGCAAGAUCUUGGAAAAGAAGUCACCCUCUCUAACCCUUCAGGGGCUUCCCAGGUGGUGCUAGUGGUAAAGAACCCUCCCGCCAAUGAAGGAAACCUAAGAGACCACAGUCUACUGGUGCCAUAAUUUUACCAAUUCAAAAGCUUUGCUGGAGGAGAGUUGAGAAAAAACAAAGCAUUAUGGAUGAAAUAGACCAGUGCUGCAUGGACAGUAAUCUAAAGAAGAGUAAUUAUGAUUCUAGCAGCCACAUUUAUGGACCAGUUACUAUCCAGGCUGAAUACUUACCCUCAUCUCAUUUUAACCUGUAAAACUUCCCCAUUUUACAAGUGGGUAAACAGAUUGGUGGAGAUGGAAAUUCCACUGUCCGAGUCUUAUGCUGCAAUGCCACAGGACCCCUCUUGUUUCUGCUGCUUUCUCUUGAGACUUGAACCCAUGGAUUAUGUCAGUGUUGCUUGUGUAGCCCACCCACUAUCAAGGAUAAUAACCUUGGAAGAGAGCUGGUUUCUGGAAACUCAGCCUGCAGAGUUCUUUGGACCUGCAUAGGUCUGUGCGAUUGCUUACUUGCUGUACUGUGGGUUUUGGCUGGGUUUGAGUCAGCCACAGGGGUUCAAGUCCCAAACAGCUGGGUUUGAGUCCCAGCACAUGGGUUCGAGUCCCAAUCUGUGGUAAAUGGUUCCAGUAAGGCUGCCCCAAGGGUCAUCAAGAGCCAUGCUUCUGGGACUACUCCACUAGUUAGAGUGCAGUAUUUUAGAUCUAGCAUUUUAUUUCAUACCCAUGCUCAAUCAAACAAAUAAAAUAGGUUCUUAAAUGAUAUAAAAACACAAAAACAAAAACAGAGUCUUGGAGUCCCUGAGACUGGUUAUUUAGGUCAAAACAAAUAAUCCUUGUUUACAGCUCACAAAAUACAGCCUGGUUUUGAGCAAAGUGGUUAAGGUUGUCUUCAGCCUCUUUCCCUCCCACUCAACCUCAAUAUACAGACACACCCCUGGUGGUCCCACAUUUGACCCUCAUGCUGGCAAGUGCCCUAAACCCACACGCUACUCUGGUUGUGUAAGUUACCUCCACCCUGCACAGAGCCCCAAGUUCCAGAUUUUCUAAACCCCUAUCCACUCUUUCCAAAAUUAACCCAUAUCUCCCCCCGCCCCACUCCUAUUGAGACUAGAGGGAAGGGGUCAGGGCACAACCAUUAAAAAAAUGACAUAGCCCUUGAGAAUACGACAAACUGAUUAGAACUGAUCAGACCCAAGAUGGCAGAAGAUUCAACUUGCAGUAGAUCCUGAGACUCACUAUAUGCUUACUGUAAUACAUUAGCAUAUGCUAAAUAGCACACCCACAGGACACUUCCCAGGACAACCAUUAAAGGCCAAAAAGUAGGCAGUGGCCCAAUUCCUGGAAAUGCCCUCCCCUUCCCCAAAAUAGUUGGAAUAAUUAGCUUAUAAAAUUACCACUCAUUAGCUUAUAAA
Molecule: long non-coding RNA, 2435 nt
Organism: Dama dama (fallow deer)
Lineage: Eukaryota; Metazoa; Chordata; Mammalia; Artiodactyla; Cervidae
Exons: 8
Source: RefSeq, a predicted model, not a curated record